CUUUCCACAUCACCUUCUUCAAUAACUGAAACUCCCACAUUCACUACUCAUAUAUACAUAGAUCACCCAUUAACCAUACUAUGUAUCUUCAUUCACAAGUCAAACCACUUUAUAAUCAAUGAAAAUAUAUCACCCAACACUUGACCUGCUCUUGAUAUCUCCAUGUUUUUGCACUUUAAAAUAGCACUUUCCAUAAUUCAUCUACAUUUAGUUACUCAGGUAUAUUUAAAUUCCUAUUUAAUUUAAGUCUAGUUUGUUAGUUUUGUUUAUCUAUAGUACACAAAAAUGACUAGUAAGUGAUGUAAGUUUUUAAUUAGGUAGUUGUGUUGUGUCAAUGCUUGUACUUUGCUUAUUGUAUGUGGUAAUACUGGGGUUGAAGUCUUAGCAACCCCAAUGAAAGUAAAAAUAUAUUUAAGAUGAUCAAGUGGUGGUAAACUCCAUAUAAUGUUUGGUAAUUUUUGUAGAUCUAUAAAAUAAUUUCAACUAAAAUUGUUGCCCACCAAGUGAUUAAUAAUAUGCCAAAAGAAGUUUUGAAAUUUGCUAAGUUUUGAUGGUUUGGUCGACUGACCAUAACAUAUAUGAUAGGACACCAAGCCAACCAUUGUUGAAAAUAUUAGUAUUGGCUAUUUUGGUUAAGGGUUGAUGGUUGACCUUACAAACUAUUAGUCACCAGAUGAACCAUCGAGAGAACCGUUUGGAAUCAUAAGUUUUAUCUAGAAUAUACUUAGCACUAAUGAUUGGGUUGAUUUACCAUCAUGCAAGGGAUAAAUUGUCACCAAACACGUCAUUACUAAAAAAAUCCAAAUGUCAAUUGCUUUUCUUGAGUUCCUAUUUUUUUUUUACUAUUUCUAACUAGUUCCUACUGCAGAUACCAUGCCUAAAGGCUAUAAUAAAUAAUAGGUGGGGCUAGAAUACAAAAAGUAUGGGAGAUUGCUACAUCAAGAAUUCAAGAUGAGCCAAAAGUUGAGACCGGUGAAGCUAAGGCCCUAGCUAAUAAUACCAAUAAAGUGAUAUAAUGCGUAACAUUCCUCCUAGUAUGAAAAGAUAAAUGGUUCUUUAAAUUUUUAUUUGAGUCAUAGAAGGGAGAGUAUCGAUUGUUCUAGCUCUAGACAUAGUGUGGAGAUUUAAAUGGGGGACACGUCUAGCUCAAAUAAAGAAUCUACGAAAGAAGAGGGUGAUUUCAUCAUUUAAAAAGACUCGGAGGUUAGAGAAUUGGUUAAAUGGAUGGUGGAAGGUGCUAAAAAGAACUAUUUCGAUUGUCUUUAACAAACCCAGUCUAGAAUUAUAAUGAGACCAAUUGUUUAGGAAUGACGAAUACUAACAGAAGAUCUGCUAGACUAUCAUGAUAUUUAAAAGUAGUACAAUAACUAUGGAUUAAGCUGUAUGAGAAGUCCACCUAACUCUUAUUAACCUACUAUUGCACAAAAUUAUUCAUCAAUUAUUUAGCAGUCCUAGAGAAAGAAAAUCCAAAGAGGCAAAAUGCAUAUAAUAUAUAGAAUAGAACUGGAAUUGUAGUUUGGGGAGUAUUAGUAGACAUAUCAGACCACACCAUUAACCGAAUCUUAUUUGGUCAACUAUACACUGCCCCAACUAUUAUUCCAAACUUGCGCAUCGAAUAAUCACUUCUUCUACAAAAUGUCCAUUAUUUUCUGGAGUUCUGAUAGACAACAGAGAAUCAUCCUGACUAAAUAAUAAAGAAUGGACAAUUAAGUCCUCAUUAAGUUUCAAAAUAAAGUUUUGGUAGGUAGUGGUUAGGAUUUGACUAAUGCCUACCGGUGGGGAAUAAAAUCUAAACCCACAAAGAUGUUUUAUGGUUGCAAGUUUAUUAGGAGGGAUGAACAUUAACUUUGGCCAAGUGAUUGGUGAUGAUUUGUUUGUUAAAGAACAUUAUAGACUGAGUGCAUUUCUCAUUAUGGAAUUAUGCAAUCUAGAAAAGGUGCCUAUCAUUUGUGUAGUGGACAAUAAGGUCAGCAUGACGAAGAGGCUAGACAUUAUGAAGAUGCGAGAUGAACCAAAUUUGAUUUAAGGUUUCAAAAGCUCUAAUAAUUUGGGCCCGAAUCUCACCUACUCGAAAAGCAUCAGAUAUCCCUGCAGGUAUGCCAUUACUUCUAAUUAUUAUUGAUCCAGUGGGUACUUCUAUAGCACCUGGGGCUACAUUAAUGCCCACAAAUAUUGAGGGUACCGACAUUAUUUCUGCACCACCUAUUUUCUCAAAAUAUAGAUUUACAGCAAAAAAUAUUUUUAAUAUUGGUCAAAGCACAAAAGAAAUUUGAAUUGUAAGUGAAUACAUAGGAUAAGGAAUUGAAACCAUUCAUGGAUAAAAUCAUUGUAGAAUCUUUUUAGCCAAAUGCAAAUUUGCAUGUCUGUANNNNNNNNNNNNNNNNNNNNNNNAGUGAACAAUAGGGUGUGAGAACUGUCCAUUUCAGAUAUAACUAAUUUCAUGACCAAAUUAAAAUAAGCUCAAUUUGUCAUAGCCAACUUGUAUGAGAAUCCCAUCACUAGCAUAUUUGACCUAUAAAUAGUAGAGUUCGAAAUAAUGACAUAGAUGAUCUAAUGGGGAAGCCAAUAAAAAAUGAAGUAAAGGAAAUAAGUGAGAGUGGAGAAAGAAGAAGUGAAAAAUGAAAAAUCACAAAAAGAAAUUAAGAAAGAAAGUGAAACAAAGAAAGCAUUGAAACAACCACAAAAGGAUGAAGAAGCUAGGAUAAAAAGAGUGAAUAAUAUGGCAAAGGGCGUGUCUACAAGUUCAACAUAUGCAAGUGGGUCAACACUGCCUAUGUUACCAAUGCCUACUCCCACGCAUUAGGGUAUUAUAUAUUUAAGCACCCCGACCAUUGUUGGGGUCAUUAUUGUAGAAGUUGACGCCCACUAGUCCUUCAAAGACUUAUUGUACUCCCAAUUCUAAGGGCUUUACAAGUAUUCCACCCCUUGUACUUUUACUCUUUAUGAAUUAAUAACAACACAUCAUUCUUUUGGUGGGGUGGGGUACUUGUAAGUCUGUCACUGCAUGAGUUUUUGUUACUUGUGUUCAUUUCCCAUGUGUGUUAUCCAAUAGAACUGAUAUGUGUUGAAUUUGUGUUCUUAUUCUAGCAUAAAAGUAGAUUGAAUAAGUAGUUAUUUUUUUGAUAUAAAUAAGUGUACCCACUGAAAAUUUAUGGUUAUGCAUAUUGUUAUAUUUUGAUAAUUUACUAUUAUUGAUAAGUACUUGGCAUUAGUAGUCUUUAAAUAAAUAUGAAACAUGCUUAAUCUUGAGAAUGAGUCUGAUAAUUGGUAGCAAGCGUGUCAGUCAACACUGUGUGUAUGAGGAUAUACUUUUCAUUCUUACUUUGUGUAUACCUCUACAACUUUCCUAAUCCAUUUUGUCAGGUGAUAAAUUGCUUGCAUAGGAUGAUAUCACGGUUCUUUUUUGAACUUUGCCUAAAAGAAUUGUCCAAAUAUUGUAUAUAAUUCCUUAUAUUCUUGUUUUGAUCUUUUAUAACUUAUUUAUACAAAUUCUAACCUUUCCUUUAAUAUUUUUUAACCAUUAUUUUGGUCAUGGUCCUUUAUUGCAAAUCAUGGACCUCAACUCAUGCAAAUUUCCUAAGAUAAAAAUAGCUACUAUAGAAUAGUUUGAUGUGUGAAUAAUGGUAUGAAUAUAGUGGUAGUGAAUUAAAGAGGCAUUCUAAGUUAAAAAAUAAGGAAGAAAUUAUGAAUAAAAUGUUACAAAUUCUCAAAAGAAGGAGAGAAUCAUUGAAUUGUGGCAAACUCAAUAGGAGGGAUUUGUUAAGGGAAUGAGGAGAAUAAGGGUGAAUUUAUAAAUAAGUUGAUUUAUGGAAUAAUGUAUUGCAAGAAAUUUUGAGCCAUUGUUCUUAAAUAUAUCUUAACUAAACCCAAGCUUCAUUACAAGUUGAAGAAGUCCUACAGUGAUCCUUGUCAACAAGCUAUAGAACCUUGUAGAAUAGUAACAAAAAGCUCACUGUAUUGCAAAUACAUUGUUUGAAGUAUGUUGUGAAAGUGAGAUAUUUGAAUUCUAGUCCCUAAUAGUGUUCUACUUCAUGAAAGGGAUGUCUUUUCUAUGAGGGCAUGUUAAUAAUUUAAUUCUAGAGUGUAUGUAAUGAAACUUAUUUGUAGUGUAAUGCAAAGCAUAGAUCCCUACCAGUUUGAUGAUUUAUAACUCAUACAUAUAUUUCUAAAUAUGUUGUAAGGUCCAUUAGGCUAUCCAAUGAUUACUUAGUCUUUUGAAAUCUAAAUGCUAGCAUGUAUUGUGUUGUUUAAGUUUCUUGAGGACAGGAAAAUAUGUAAGUUGAAGGUGUUGAUGUGCCAUCUUAUGAUGACAUAUUUUUCAUCUUUACAUAAGGAUAAUUGUAUGUUUUCAAUCAAACGUUGGUAUUUUAAUGUGUUUUGUUUUCACUUAAAGGAAAUAGUGAUGGAAAAUGAUGGAACUUUGUCAUGAAAAUAGAGUGUGAUAGCUCUUUUAAUGGGCUGUUAGGUUCCUGAUGAUUUUUUGGACCUCCCAUCAAGCCAAAGGAAAAUAUAUCGAAAACUAAAGCUACUUUAUAGCCCAAAUGAGGGGACGUUUGGGUCUCAAUGGAUCGUCACCCCUACCUAUCGCGCAUAAAUAGUUCUACCCAAAAAUUCAAGUUAGGUAAAGAUAUAGUUGAUGGACCAUUAGGUCCUAGAUCGAUAUCCAACCUAAUUGUCAGUGUCAAAUAGAAUACCAUCAAAAGAAUAAUCCGAUGAUGGUUUUUUAGCGAUGAAUCCUCUCCCUUCUGAUGACCCACCAGGUAAUUAGAUAAGGUGGAAGUGGCAACUCAGCUUUGAUCUUUAAAACAAAUUUCUUUAGUAUAAACACCUAGUUUAGUGUUUAGAAUAGGUAUCUACCAUACAUAGAUAUUUUUAAUGUAUAUUUUCUCUAGAGAAGCAACUUUGAUAUGGUAAAACACAAGAUUAUUGGUUUUGAUUAUUAACUGGAAUUCAUAAUUUAUCAUUUGCAAGGCUUACUUUUCAUAUAAAAUUUAUUUAUUUCAUCUCUUUUCAUAUGAUGAGUGGCUAAAAACCAAAAAACUAGGGUUAUCGAAUCCUUGGUUAAUAAUUACAUCUAGGGUUCUAAUAUUGGCAAAAACUACAUCUCUAAGAAGUAUAAUGUAGUCGUUGUCAAAUAUAUAACCCAACAAAGGUUGGGGUCGAACAAAUAGGGAAUAGGCAAAAUAUUUCUCAUGUGAGGGGAUUUUGUAUGAACAGUAUCUAGAGCAACAAAUCUUUAUAGCUUUGGUAGAAAUUAAUAUGACAUAAAUAUUAGAACCGUGUUCCCCCUGAAUUCCAAAAUUCGUACUUAUUGUGCUCUAUCAAUCUAUCUAAAUUCCUUGCAUUCAAAAUCUUACAAGAUAUGUAUCACCAACCAUCUUGUGAAUGGCUUUGGUAAAUUUCACUCUUCACCUUGUUUACCUUAGUAUUGACUUACUAACCAUUGUCUUGGAUACCAGCUCAACUAUCUCCUUUUAGGUGUCAAGUAAAUCAGAUAAGAGUUGUAGCCUCAAAUUAUAUUAUGAAAUUCUUUUUCAAAUCUCAACCUCUUUUGUGAAGAUGAUCUCAACUACAGGCAAGUUCUUAACUUCUGAAUAAGUAAGAAAGUAUUAAAGUUAAAGAUGAUCAUAAUACAUACCUAAAUAAUGAUUUAGAAGGACCUUCCACUUUCUCUAAAUUCAUUAUUUUGCUAGGGUUCCCACAUCCCUAGUUAGGUGGUUUAGCCGCUUAUGUUCGUAAGAACAUCCAUAGAAUUCAUCAAAGGAAUUGCAUAAAUAAUCUGACAAUAAUUUAAGAAUAGAACCCAAAAUAGAAAAUUAUUAAUCAAUCAUAAAAACCAAGAACAAUGGAUUCUAAGAUCCAAAGUCGAAUAUCAUAAUCAAUUUAGCGUUGUGAAUGUAAAGAGUGUGUAAGCUAAUACAAAAACAUAAAAAGAAUAUUUAUAGAAUAAAUCAAAAUCCUAAAAAUCCUAACCAUAAUAAAUAAGGAAAACUUGGUGGGUGGCCACUUGGUAUUGGCAUUAGGGUUGGCACCGGUUGGAUAAUUGAUUGAGGUUGUUUGAUUAUGGCUAUAAAUUAUAUUUAAUUCCUUUGAUUUAUUCUUUUUCUAUCUUCUUAUAUUUAUGGAAUUCAACAAGCAUAGGUUGCAGGGAGUUUAUUAUUGGGUAUUGGGGGUGGUCUCCGAUCCCGAUUUGACUUGAGAAACCCAUACAACUAGGCCUUGGUUCGGGUUGUGUCAAAGGGUAUAUAAAUAUAUCCGAUUGGGGACUCAAACCUAUCUGCAUGUCAUGGUGACACGAACACCAAAUCAUGUAAUAAGAUGUAGGGAACUAGAACCUCCCAAUCAUAUGAUAAUAAUACUAUAAGGACUAAAACUACCUAGUCAUAUAGACCCCCGCGACGGUAACCAUAAUUUCUAGUAUUGGUCUCUCAGACCUCAACUUUCAUGACUCAGCUACACAAUAUUCAUUAAAGCCCAAUUAAAAACACUAUCACACAAUCCCAUUCAUCAAACCAUAUUUUACAUUAACGAAUACGUCGUUGGCAUCAUCAUACCAACUACCUUGCAAGGUAACAACACCAUGCCAAAACAAUUAAAUCUAUUGGUUGAAUUCACAACCCCUUGGUUCAGAUUUGCAAUAGCUGAUGUAAACAUGAACCCAUAGGGUUUACUUUAAAAUCAUAAAGCAAUAGUUUGCGAAUAGUAAAAUUUCCAUAUUUUUCAUAACUAAAAAUCAAUUUCACCAUAUGGGUUUGGGGUCAUAACUACUUCAAAAGUAAUAAGUUUUUGGAUAAUCACAGUUCCCUAGUUUAUUCACCAUACCCAUGCACCCAUAAAUUCAAAACCAUAAUUAAAGCAUGAUUAAUCAUAUGCAAACCAUGAGAAAUAUUAUUCAAUUCAUAAACAUCCAAAAUGAUCAACCCUUAUUUCAAAAAAAUCAUCAAUAUCUCAUGAAUAAUACUUUAAAACAUAUGUUUUUAACAAAUUAACAGUGAAGGAAGAGUAACAUUCAUGAAAUACCAAGUUUAUGGAACAAAUUCAACCCUUGAGCCCUUGGAUGUCCUAUUUCUUGAAAACCCAAAGCCUGGCUACUUGUGGUAAUUUAAGAGAGCUUUUGAAAGUUCUUUAAGGAUUUAACAAUGCUAAUGGGGUCGCCAAUAUGGUCUUAGGUCGUGCUUUAAAAAUUUGGGAAGAGGGGAAAUGCCCUAAGUGCCCUUAAUGAAGAGACUAAAAAUUAUCGCAAGUGAUAAAGGGUCACUCUAUGACUCAUAAGGAUACAUUACGAAAAAUCAAAAGGAAUCAUAGUCAAGAUGGAACCACCAAAACCCCAUACUUCUCUAGAUAAGAUUCAUACCACCAACUUGUAUCCAUACUUAACAUUUCGUAACCACUUAUCCUUCUCAAGACAAUAAUAAUUUGGGAUAACACACUGGACACCCUACAAUUGGGAUACUAUGACUCAUUAUGAGUCUUUACAACUCGUGGACUUAAGUAAUAAUGAGUAUAGUAACUUGGUCCACACUUACAUAACACCUUACGAAUUGGUCCUCAGAACCCUUAAGAAUUCUUGAUGACUUUUUGAUAGCCACUCGUACUCAGAGAAUAAUUCUAAUCAACUUUUUCUAAUUAAUUUAUGACAUAGUCCCUACGGCCCUUCAUGACUCUCUACUACAUUCCAGGGGAGUCAAAGACAAGAUAGUGAGGAUGAAAUUUCAGAAAUUUUUCAAGAACCAAAAAUCCGAGGCAUUAAAGAGGUAUUAAAGGAAAUACGUCUAUGAUUAAAAAUAAAGUUGAAUCAAUGUACCAAUCACAAUAUGACUUAUGAGCAUUUGAUGGAAACAUUCUAUAGGUAAUUAAAUUCAAACGUGAACCUAACAAUUGGUAAUACAAUUGGAGGUGCCUUCAUGGUUUACACUUUUAUUGAUGCAAAUCUGAUAUUGGAUAAAUAGACUAAAACUAUUAAACCUAGGAAUUCUAAAUAUUCUGAGGUAGCAAGCAACACUUAUACUAUGGGCAUGUCAUCUAAGAAAAACUUGAAGAGAAGAAGAUCAUGAGAAAGAUAUGGAAUACAUAAAGACUCAGAUGUAUUUAAUAACAAGACACUUGUUAUCUUUUAGUGUUGAGAAGGUGAAGGCAAUUAGUUCAUAUGGUAGAGCAUGUAAAUUUUAUUCAAAGGCAGAAUCUAACUACUUGAGUAACUAGGGGGUUUUCAAUCCAAUCGCCAAGGAAAUCAAGGUCAGAACAAAUAAAGAGAUGAUUUUUAUGACAAAUCAUUUUAUAUAGAUUUUGAGCGAGUGAAUUUGAAGAACAAAGGAGAUUUAAGUGGGCUAAAUUUACAACAAGGCAAUUGUGAUAAUUUUACAAAUGACUCAGUGAAACUUUCCAUAGGAGUUAUGAUGGCUAAGUUUUUAAAGUGAUAGAAUCUUUUGAUGCAAGUGUCAAAGAUAUUUAAAGUGACUUAUCGACUAUGAGUCAACUAUUUGAUUCUCAUUCUACAUUUAUCAAAAAGUUUAAGAAUCAAAUGAAUCAGUUUUUCCUCAGCCUUCAACUACUAGAGGAGUGGAACUUGAACCUAUCAAGCGAUCACCAUAACAAGUGGUAGAGUGUUACUUGAACCUUAUCUAAUAAUUCAACCAUAGUUAGAUGAUGUUGUAUCAAAAUAUAAAACCAUUUUUGAUAUUUAUUAUGCGAUAGGUAGCCUAGUUGAGUCUGAGUACAUGGAAGAUAUAGGUAAAAAGAAAGUUAAUGUUUGGCAGUCUUCCAAAUUGAUGAAUGAUUAUGAGUUGAGCAUGGAAAAAGGAAAAUGCUAAAACAGUGCUAACCUAAAUUCUUAUUCCUCCUCCUCUAUUUUAAUAGAGGAUGAAAAAAAUAGAUGGAGAUGGUAGUUCAGUGAAUUCAUGGCAAUGCUAAAGCAGUUAUCGAUAAAUGUUCUGCUGGUGGAAGCUUUGGAACAAAUACCAGGAUAUAAAAAAUUCAUGAAAGACUUCGUUACCAAGAAAAGAACUAUGAGUUGUGUACCAAUGUACAAUCCAAUCACUACAGUCCAAUUGUUUUGUGAUCAUUGGUCCAAAAGAAAUUCGAUUAUAGGGAAUUUACUAUUUCAUGCACAAUUGGUGCAUUAAGUUUUACUAUGAUACUUUGUGACCUUGGAGUAAGAACCAAUUUGAUGCCUAUGGCAAUUUAUCAACAUCUAGGGUUAGGAGCCCGUAAAGCCAAUAUCCAUGUAGUUAUUGAUGGUCGAUCAUUCAGUCAAACAACUUAUUUGAAUUCUCAAUAAUGCAUUAAUAAAAGUAGCAAAUUUCAUAUUUCUAGUAGACUUCAUAAUUAUUAAUUGUGAGGUAGAUUUGAAUGUACCCAUAAUCUUAAAUAGAUCAUUUUUAGAUACCAAAAAGAUAUUGGUAGAUAUUAAGAAAAAUAAGCCUAAAUUUAGGCUAAAUAAUGAGAAGGUGAAGUUUAAUAUCUCUCAAUUAUUGAAACAACCACAAGAUAUUGUGUUGUUUCAAUCAUUUAUAAUAUGGAAGAAAACAAAAUAGAGGUGUCUAUUAAAGAUAGAUUUUUUUUUAAACUUUGGCAACAGUGUUGAUGAGUUUUGAUAGCAAUGACAUUAAGGAUUAUGAGGAGACUAUUUAUUCAUUGAUCGGGAUGGGCUAAUAUUAAUAUACUCAUAAGAAGUGAUACCUAAACUUUAAAAAUAGGCCAACUAAUCUAGCUAAGCCAUUCAUUGAAGAGGCACCAGUGCUAGAACUGAAGGAAUUAUUGAGUCACUUGAGAUGCAUGCUUUUAGGUAAAAAAAUUAUAUUUCCAAAUAGUAUUGAUAUGGAUUUAGUUAAGUGGAAAAUAAGAGCUAUGGUAUUAUUAUUGAAAGGUUUAAAAGAGAUAUAGGGUAGACAAACAUAGAUAUAUUAGAAUCCCAUAAGUAAUCUAUGCUAACAAAAUACAACUACAAAAAGAGUGUAUCUCUAUUUAGCGUUAGAGAAGACACAACCCAGCAAUGCAAGAAGUGGUCAUGAAGGAGAUCACAAAGUGGAUUGACGCAGGGUUUUCUACCUAAUUUCUUAUAGCAAAUGGGUAAGACCAGUCCAGUGUAUCUGUAAUACCCCGAGAUUAAGGCCUUAAAGAUGUCCUAACGAUUGGGUGAAUCAAAACAUUUCUUACCUAUUGAAUUCUUGGAAAAGAUACUGGUAUAGUCAACUUAAAACAAGCAUAUAUCUCAUUAUACAUAGACUUUUUGAUCUUGUCACCUAUCAACAGAUAGAUAAUUGAAUUAUCUUUCCAACGAUACCAAUUUUUCCAAAAUCCAAUAUCGGAGCAAAGAGUUAUACCCAUUUUACUCAAGAAUGUCAAUCUGGAAAAGGGUGAUGAUGUUUUUGAUGGCCUGUCACAUUUCUGACGACGUCGUCAUGUUUCUAACGACAUUUCUGAUGACGUUGUCAGCCAUAGGUAGAAAAUUAUAAAGUUUGACCCUUUUGUGACGGCCUAUCAUAGGUCUGACGACCUGUCACGGAUGUCGUCAGCUAUUUUUUCAGCAAUUUAGAGACAUUUUUGCAAGGGUAUUUUGACCUUUUUCCAUCUUUUGGAGGCCUCUAUGAAUAUGAGAAUCCCAUCCAAACCCUAAUUCCAUUAUUUUCUCUUCCAAUUCUCUUGAGAUAAUAUAUCUAGGGUUAUACCAAGAAUACAAAUCUUCCAAGAAUCAUCCAUAAAUCUUCAAAAUUUCUUCAAGAACCAAGUUCCUCAUAGUGUGGGCUUCAAGAAUUAUUUAUUUCAAGUGUGGAUAAAGUCUCAAGCACUAAAGUUCAUCCAAUUUCAAAGAUUAAGGUAUGUGGGGUUUUGAACAAGAAUACUUAUUUUGUUCUUGUGCCCAAAGAUUUAAUUUCUAUUGAAUUUCAUGAAUUUUGCAAAGUGAGUUUACACCUAAAUUACUUUAUCAAGGAUUUAUGAGAUUUCAGCUAUACAACAUUGAAACAUAUGACUACUUCAUUGUCUUAUUUCUUAAAUUAAGAAUUUAUGUCAUGAGUUGUAUAUUGUUUUCGUGAAAUGAUAAUUUCUAAGUGAUUUAUGAUAAGUGUCAAGAUUUAUCUUUUUCUAUGAGAAGUUUGUCUAUUGAAUAUAUAUUGAUAUUGAGCUUGAGAGUGAAGAAUGAGUUCUAUGAUAUCUUCUGGAAGAUUUGAUACUUGAUAUGAUUUGAUAAGCAAGUGUACUUGAUGAUGAGAAAGAUUAUUUGGUGAUUUAGUCGAGUUAGGAAUCCGCAAGUUGAUUAUGAUUUAUAAGUGAGAUAUAUAUUGAUAUUUUGGUCUUCAUGGUAGACCCUUGAGUUCAUUAAGGUGGAUUUCCUAAUGCGUUCUAAGAUUAAGUUUGGGUGUAGUAUUUAGCACCGAGCGGGAAGUAUGGGUUCAGCGCAUCCUACUUCCCCAGAACUACGUGCCACUAUAGGAUUAAGAUUAAGACCCAAAGGCCAAGAUAGUUAUCACUAAAUUUAAGGUUCUACUCUAAUGGCAGGGAUAGAAUAGCUCUCCUCAACGUGGGUAAGACAUUGGACUCCAUGUAAGCUUACAUGGUUUAUGUCGGUUAUGAGAAACUCCCAAUUCUAUUAUAGUCCAAGUUUCAUGAGUUACCGAGUCACUCUAAGUCAUGAGUCAAAGAGUUUGAGUUGAGUCCAACGGUUAGUGAGAUUUAUGAAGCAUGUGUUAUUAUUGAUAAUUUGUGGAAAAUAUGUUUUGUUUCAGGUAACUCAAGCGAAGAGAGUCAUUAUUAUCAGCAUGCAUGAUUCUCUUAUACAUUUAUGAUAUUAUUUAAAUGUUGUCAGCACCCCCACAUACUCAAUACAUUCCCAAGUAUUGAUUCCCAUACUCUUCUGUGUUCUAUAUUUUCUCGUGAUAUAGGUUCAGGUGCUCAGUCUCAGCCGCGAUAGUGAUCUUCGAGUACCUCCAUCUACAUUUGUAUAGUUGGUAAGUCCUCAUGGUUUGAGGACCUAUGUCCCUGAUUUUUUUCUUGAUAGUAGAUGGUUAUUUAUUUCCAGUUUAGUACGGGUCAGUUGGGGAUCUAUCCUAAUGGCUCCUCAGUUUUAUGUAGUAGAGGCCUUGUCAUACUAGAGUACCAGUAUGUAUAGAACUUCAGCAUUUUGAUUGUACAGGAUAGUAUUUCUUUGUAUUCCAGUAUGUUCAUGAUAUGAUUAUUUUUCUUUAUUACAACUUGAUUAUUGUCAUAGUGAGUUAUAAAGGAGAUGACAGGCUCAGAGGGUUAGCUUGAGGUCAUGUGUGGCCUUAAGCACCAUGUGACGUCUUGGGAUGGGAUCUUAGGGCAUUAUAAGUGUGGUAUCAGAGCCUAAGGUUUAAAGAAGUCCUAGGGAGUCUGACAAGCCCCGUUACAUAGAGUCUUGAUCAUCGGUGUGUAGUGCACCACAUCUAUGAGCAAGAGGCUAUGGGACGUUUUAAGAAAAGUUAUUUCUUUCUUUCAGAAGGUUUUUGUGCCUACGACUAUUUCUCUCUGCUAUUAAUCUAGGCUCUCUUAUGACUGAAAAUGCCUCCUCGAAGGGCUUGCAGAAAAACCGAACGACCUCAACCCGUUGAUCCUUUAAAUGAGAUGGUGACUCAUGCCAAAUUUUGGGUAAAUUUUUAGGUGCUAGCCCAAGCAGUUACCACCAAUGCUCAAGCUAAUGUUUAAGUCGCUGUUCCACCUCCGUGAGAAGGUAAUUCUGUAGCAGCUCAAGUUCAGGAUUUUAUGUGGAUGAAUCCACUAGAUUUUUAUGGGUCAAGGGUAGGUGAGGAGCCACAGAUAUAUCUUGAUGAGGUGAAAAGGAUCACCCAAAUAAUGCAUGUAACAACGGAAAAAAGUGUGGAUCUAGCUUUCUAUCGCUUGAAAGAUGUUGCUUAGGAUUGAGUAGAAUUGUGGAGGAUGAGUAUAGGGGAGGAUGCCGCUCCCAUGACUUAGCAGUUGUUCCAGGAUGCGUUCUUAGAUCGAUUCUUUUCCCCAGAGCAGAGGGAAGAAAACUAGAAGAAUUUAUGAACUUGAGACAAGUCUCCAUGAUAGUUAAGGAAUAUUGUCUUAAAUUUAACUAGUUGUCUAAGUAUGCUCCUGGUAGGAUGGGUGAUUCCAAGACCAGUAUGAGUAAGUUUUUGACUAGCGCAUCGAGUUAUGUUGUGAAAGAUUGUAGGUCCGCUAUGUUCAAUAGGGACAUGGAUCUUUCUAGAUUGAUGAUACAUGCCCAACAGAUUAAAGUAGACAAGGUGAAAGAGGGAGAGAGGGAGAGGGAAUAAAAGAGUUAGAUCAGAGCAGCAGGGGUAUAGUUAGAGUAGAUUUUCUGGAGGGAUCCGUCCUCAAUUUCAGAGUCGUUCUUUUAUGCCGGCACUGUCAUCAUCUAGUACUCCCGCAUCCAGAGUCAACUGAGAGCAGGGUAAUAGACCUACUAUGUCUAGGUCUCAGGACAGUGUGAGUAAUAGACCUAACUUUCCCUCGUGUGCUAAGUGUGGUAGGACGCAUCCUAGAGAGUGUAUGGCUGAGCAAACAGGUUGUUUUGGUUGUGUUAAGUUAGGCCACAAAUUCAGGGAUUGCCAACAUACUAGACAAUGAAGCUGUGAUGUUCGUCCCAGUUAGGCUAUUAGUGCUCCUGCCCCUUGGGUUUGUCUUACUCCUCCUCAGGGUGCCUCAUCUAGUACUUUCGGUGUUCAGCGUUAGAAUUGCUUUUAUGCUAUACCACCCCGCCAGGAGCAGGAGUAUUCACCAGAUGUUGUUACUGGUACGCUCUGUGUAUUUCAUUUUGAUGUGUAUGUGUUGAUGGACCCUGGGUCAAGUCUUUCUUAUGUGACUCUGUUAGUGGCUGUGAAUUUUGAGAUCAAUGCUGAAAAGAUUCUUGAGCCUUUUCUAGUUUCUUCUCCAGUAGGUGAACCUGUUGUUGCUAAGCACGUAUAUAAGAAGUGUCCUAUCACUGUCCUUCACAGAGUUAUGUUUGGAAAUUUGAUUGAGCUAGACAUGUUUAAUUUUGACAUUAUUUUAGGUAUGGAUUGGCUUCACUCUUGUUAUGAGUCUAUAGACUAUCGUAGUCGUGUAGUCAAGUUUCAGUUUCCCAAUGAGCUAGCAUUUGAGUGGUCCAGAAAUUCUUUAUCUCCCAGGAGUCAUUUCAUAUCCUAUCUUAAAGCUGGGAAAUUGAUAUACAAUAAUUGCAUCUAUCAUUUGGUUUGAGUUAAAGAUACUACAUUCGAGACUCUGACAAUUUAGUCGAUCAGCAUUGUUAAUGAGUUUUAUGAUAUUUUUCCAGAAGAUCUCCUAGGUGUACCUCCCGAUAUAGAGAUAGAAGUUAGGAUUGAUCUUCUUCCCGACACUCAGCCUAUUUUUAUUCCUCUAAAUCAUAUGGCCCUCGCAGAACUUAAAGAGUUGAAAGAGCAACUCAAUGAUUUUCUAGAGAAGGGUUUCAUAAGGCCUAGCAUAUCUCCUUGGGGUGCACCUGUUCUGUUCGUGCAAAGGAAAGAUGGUUUAUUGUGGAUGUGCAUUGAUUAUCAUUAGCUUAACAAGGUCACAGUCAAGAACAAGUACCCUCUUCCUAGAAUUAAUGACCUGUUUGAUCAGCUGCAAGGUGCUAACUAUAUCUCAAAAAUAGACUUGAGAUCCGGUUAUCACCAGCUUAAAGUUAGGGAGUGUGAUAUUCCAAAGACAGCUUUUCGCACCUGAUAUGGUCAUUUUGAGUUCUUAGUCAUGUCCUUUGGGCUAACAAAUGCCCAGCAGCUUUUAUGGACCUCAUGAAUUGGGUGCUCAGAUAGUACCUGGAUAUGUUUAUUAUUGUGUUUGUAGAUGAUAAUCUUAUAUACUCCCAAAGUGAGAACGACCAUGCAGAUCAUGUCCGAAUAGUCUUGCAAACCCUUAGAGAUCAUCAACUAUUUAUCAAAUUUAGGAAGUGCAAAUUUUGGCUAAGGUCAGUUUCUUUUCUAGGUCAUAUUGUUUCUUAUGAAGGUAUUCGAAUUGACCCUCAAAAGAUAGAAGUUAUGAAAAAUUAGCCUUGACCUAUUUCCUCAUCUGAUAUUAGGAGUUUCUUGGCUCUAGCUGGCUACUACUGUUAUUUUGUUGAGGUUUCUAUUCCAUUAUGUUUCCUUUGACUUGAUUGACCCAAAAGAAAAUUAAAUUCCUAUGGUCUGACUCUUGCGAGAAGUAUUUUCAGGAGUUGAAGACUCGACUCACUUCGGCCCCUGUGUUGACCUUUCCAAAUAGUGUAGAUGAUUUUGUGGUGUACUGUGAUUUUUCUAGAGUUGGGUUUGGUUAUGUGUUGAUGCAGAAAGGUAAGGUUAUAGCCUAUGCCUCCAGACAGUUGAAACAGCAUAAGAAGAACUACCCGACCCAUGACCUCAAGUUAGCUGCAGUGGUGUUUUCCUUGAAAAUCUCGAGAUACUAUUUGUACGGUGUUCAUGUUGAUGUCUUUACGGAUCACAAGAGUUUGAAGUAUGUGUUUACCCAAAGAGAGUUGAAUCUUUGUCAGAGAUGAUGGUUGGAAUUGCUAAAGGACUAUGAUAUAAAUGAGUUGUAUCACCCGGGCAAGGCCAAUGUAGUGGCAGAUGCCCUUAGAAGGUCAUCCAUAGGUAGUGUAGCACAGGUCGAUGAAGAUAGAAAGGAGUUAGCUCGUGAGAUAAAUCAUUUGGCUAGGUUGGGAGUUAGAUUGAUUGAUUUAGCUGAGGUUAAUGUUUGGGUCCAGAAUAGUUUUGAGUCUUCUCUAGUUUUGGAAGUAAAGGAGAAGCAAGAUAUGGAUCAUAGUUUGGUCAGACUGAAGGAGUCAGUUAAAGACCAAAAGGUGGAGGUUUUCUCCCAAGGGGGAGAUGGUGUAUUGAGAUUUCAAAAUAGAUUAUGUGUGCCUGCUGUUGAAGAUUUAAGGCAGAGAAUUAUGGCUGAAGCGCAAGGUGCACGAUAUUCUAUUCAUCUUGGUGCUACCAAGAUGUACCACGAUUUGCGAGAAAUCUAUUGGUGGAAUGGUAUGAAAAAGGGUAUAGCAAAAUUCAUAGACAAGUGUACAACUUGCCAAUAGGUUAAGAUAGAACACCAAAGACUCAGUGGAAUGAUGCAAGAAUUCAGUAUUCCUACUUGGAAGUGGGAGAAAGUAAAUAUGGAUUUCGUGACUGGUUUACCUCCUUCUCAACUUCAUCAUAAAUCGAUUUGGGUCGUUGUAGAUAAGUUGACUAAGUUCGUGCCUUUUUUUCCAGUGCAUACAUCUUUCACCGCUGAGGACUAUGCUAAGUUGUAUAUUCAAGAGUUAGUCAGGUUACAUGGAGUUCCUUUGUCUAUUAUCUCCAACAGGGCUACUCAAUUUACUUCUCAUUUUUAAAGGGCUUUUCAGAAGGGUCUUGGUACCCUACUUCAUCUUAGCUCCGCUUUUCAUCCGCAGACCGAUGGUCAGGCUGAGAGGACCAUCCAGACCUUGAAGGAUAUGUUGAGGGCAUGUGUUCUUGAUUUCAAAGGAAGUUGGGAUGAACAUUUGCCAUUGAUUGAAUUUGCUUACAACAAUAGUUUUCGUGCUAGUAUUGGAAUGGCUCCAUUUGAGGCUUUAUACGAAAGGCGAUGUAGAUCACAUAUAGGUUGGUUUGAAGUGGGUGAAGCCACUAUGAGUGGACCUGAUGUUGUGUUUGAGGCUAUGGAGAAAGUUAAGCUGAUUUGGGAAAGGUUGAAGACAGCCCAGAGUCAUCAGAAGUCAUAUGCAGAUAUGAGAAGAAGAGCUCUUGAGUUUGAGGUUAACGAUCUUGUAUACUUGAAGAUUUUACCUAUGAAGGGGGUGAAAAUAUUUGGUAAGAAAGAAAAGCUUAGUCCCUGAUACGUCAGCCCUUAUAGAGUUUUUAAUUGUAUUGGGAAAGCAACUUACGAGAUUGAACUGCCUACAGAUUUAUCAGCUAUCCAUCUUACCUUUCACGUUUCUAUGCUCAAGAAGCACAUUGGUGAUUCUGUUGUUGUUAAUCCAUCAGAAAGUUUUGAUCUUCAGGAUAGCCUUUCAUAUGAUAAAGUUUCGAUUAAAAUCCUAGAUUAUCAAGUUCGUAGACGAAGAAAUAAGGAAGUUCUCUAGGUCAAAGUUCUGUAGUAAAAUCAAUCAGUCGAGGGUGCUACUUGGGAAGCAGAAGCAGAAAUGCGAACCAGAUACCCUCUUCUCUUCUUCGCGAGUUUAAAUUAAUCCAAAGGUACUAUUAUUCCCUAAUCCAUUUUCCUUCUAAUCCAGUGUAUUCAGCUAUAUGGUUAUUCUCUCUAUGAUUCAUGCAUUUUGUGAAGUAUUCGAAAGUUUAGAAUGAAGUAAGCCCUUUUAGUGAGUUGUUCCAUCUAUAAGUCGUCAUUUUCUCUUUUUCUUGGCCUAUUUAGCCACAUUUGAGGAUGAAUGUUUCCAAGAGGGAGAUAUUGUAAUACCCCGAGACUCUAACCAAUAGUGCAACCAUGAAUCAAGCUUAUGAGAAAUAAAUUAUAAUGUUUUGGGUUGUUUUCUGAUCAAGGAUGGUGUGUAUUAAGUCCUUAAGAUGUCCUAACGAUUGCGUGAAUCAAAACAUUCCUUACCAAUUGAAUUCUUUGGAAGGAUAUUGGUAUAGUCAACUUCAAACGGACAUAUCUCUCAUUAUACUUGGAAUUUUUGAGCUCAUGACCUAUCACUAGAUAGAUAAUUAAAUUAGCUUUCCAACUAUACCAAUUUUGCCAUCCGAUACCGGAGCAAAGAGUUAUACCUAUUUUACUCCGGCAUGUCAAUCUGGAAAAGGGUGAUGACGUUUUUGACGGCCUGUCACAUUUCUGACGAUAUUUCUAAUGACGUCAUCACGUUUUUGACGACAUUUCUGACGAUGUCGUCAACCUUAGGCAGAAAAUCAUAAAAUUUGACCCUUUUGUGAUGACAUUUUGUGACGUCCAAUCACGGGUCUGACGUCCUAUCACGAAUGUCUUCAGCUAUUUUUUAAGCAAUUUAGAGAUGUUUUGCAAGGGUAUUUUGGUCUUUUACCAUCUUUUGGUGGCCUCUAUAAAUAUGAGAAUCCCAUCCAAACCCUACUUCCAUCAUUUUCUCUUCCAAUUCUCUUGGGAUAAUAUAUCUCGGGUCAUAUCAAGAACAUAAAUUUUCCAAGAAUCAUCCAUAAAUCUUCAAAAUUUCUUCAAGAACCAAGUUCGUCAUAGUGUGGGAUUCAAGAAUUAUUUAUUUCUAGUGAAGAUAGAGUCUCAAGCACUAAAGUUCAUCCAAUUUCAAAGAUUAAGGUACGUGGGGUUUUGAACAAGAACACUUCUUUUGUUCUUGUGCCCAAAGAUUUAAUUUCUAUUGAAUUUCAUGAAUUCUGCAAAGUGGGUUUACACCCAAAUUACUUUAUCAAGGAUAUUUGAGAUUUGAGAUAUACAAGAUUGACACAUAUGACUACUUCAUUGUCUUAUUUCUUAAAUUAAGAAUUUGUGUCAUGAGUUGUAUAUUGUUAUCAUGAAAUGAUAAUUUCUACGUGAUUUAUGAUAUGUGCCAUGAUUUAUAUUUUUCUAUGAGAAGUUUGUCUAUUGAAUAUAUAUUAAUAUUGAGCUUGAGAGUGAAAAAUGAGUUCUAUGAUGUUUUCUGGAAGAUUCGAUACUUGAUAUGAUUUGAUAAGCAAGUGUACUUGAUGAUGAGAAAGAUUAUUUGGAGAUUUAGUGGAGUUAGGAAUCCACAAGUUGAUUAUGAUUUACAAGUGAGAUAUAUAUUUAUAUUUUGGUCUUCAUGAUAGACCCUUGAGUUGAUUAAGGUAGAUUUCCUAACGCGUUCUCAGCUUAAGUUUGGGUGUAGUGUUUAGCACCGAGAGGGAAGUAUGGGUUCAGGCAUCCAACAUCCCCAGAACUAAGUGCCACCAUAGGAUUGAGAUUAAGACCCAAAGGCUAAGACAGUUAUCACUAAAGUUAAGGUUCUACUCCGAUGGAAAGGAUAGAACAACUCUCCCCAACGUGGGCAAGACAUUGGACUCCAUGUAAGCUCACAUGGUUUAUGUCGGUUAUAAGAAACUCCCAAUUCUAUUAUAGUCCAAGUUUCAUGAGUUACUAAGUCACUCUAAGUCAUGAGUCUAAGACUUUGAGUUGAGUCCAACGGUUAGUGAGAUUUAUGAAGCAUGUGUUAUUAUUGAUGAUUUAUGAAAAAUAUGUUUCAGGUAAUUCAAGUGAAGAGAGUCAUUAUAAUCAGCAUGGAUGAUUUUCUUAUACAUUUAUGAUAUUAUUUAAAUGUUGUCAGCACCCCCACAUACUCAGUACAUUUCCAAGUACUGAUUCCCAUACUCUUCUGUGUUCUAUAUUUUCUCGUGAUGUAAGUUCAGGUGCUCAGUCUCAUCCGCGAUAGUGAUCUUCAAGUACCUACAUCUACAUUCAUACAGUUGGUGAGUCCUCAUGGUUCGAUGACCUAUGUCCCCAAUUUUUUUCUUGAUAGUAGAUGGUUAUUUAUUUCCAGUUCAGUACAGGUCAGUUGGGGAUCUGUCCUAAUGGCUCCUCAGUUUUAUGUAGUAGAGGCUUUGUCAUACUAGAGUACCAGUUUGUAUAGAACUUCAGUAUUUUGAUUGUACAGGAUAGUAUUUCUUUGUAUUUCAGUAUGUUCAUGAUAUGAUUAUUCUUCUUUAUUACAACUUGAUUAUUGUCAUAGUGAGUUAUAAAGGAGAUGACAGGCUCAGAGGGUUAGCUUGAGGUCCCGUGUGGCCUUAAGCACCGUGUGACAUCUUGGGAUAGGAUCUUGGGGCGUUACAGUAUCCCAAAAAAAGGGGUAUGACUAUAGUAGCCAAUGAGAAGAAUGAAUUAAUUCGACCUAGACCUAUCAUAGGUUGGAGAAUAUGCAUGGACUACAGAAAAUUAAACUCUUGGACUCUGAAGGAUCAUUUCACAAUGUCUUUUAUUGACCAAAUAUUUUAUUUAUUAGUAGAUGGGGUUGGUAUUGCAUCUAUGAUAGUUAUUCAGGAUACAACCAAAUGCCCACUGCACCAGAAGACAAAGAAAAGACUAUAUUUACAUAUGAAUAUUGAACCUUUACAUUCAAGUCGAUGCCCUUUGGGUUGUCUAAUGUGCCGAUUAUAUUUCAAAGGUGAAUGAUGUCAAUUUUUUUAGAUAUGGUGGAGGACACUUUGGAAGUGUUCAUGAAUUAUUACUCUUCAGAAGGUGAUUUUGUAAUAAAUACUUGGCAAAUCUAAAUAAUGCCUUGAAGAAAUGUGAAUAGUUUAAUCUUGUUCUCAACUAGGAAAUUGUAACUUUAUCAUAAAAGAAGGAAUUUUGUUGAGGUGGAAGAUUUAUGUUAGAGUUAUUAAAGUCAAAUGAAUAAAAAUUGACAUGAUUUAAACUCUAUCCCCACCAAUCUUGGUGAAGGGUGUCUGUAAUUUUCUGGGUCAUGUAGGGUUUUAUAGGAGGUUUAUUAAAUACUUCUCCAAGAUUUCCAACCCUUUGUGAAAAUUAUUUGGGAAGGAGGUCAAUUUCUUGUCAAAUGAUGAUUUUCUUAAGGCAUUUUAGUGCCUUAUACAAAAGGUUGUUGCUUCCCCCAUUAUCUGUAAUACCCCGAUCAUUCCUUAAGCCUAAAUCUGUCUUUUUGAAUGGGUAUGUAUGACUUCCAGAAUAAUUGAUGUUUAAACCAUGUUGUAUUCUCGAAUUUCCAUUUUUUCAUGUAGAGCAUUGAAUAAUCUUUCCAUUGAUACCAAUUUCAUCAAAAUCCAACAUCGGAUGAGUGAGAUAUGGCCGUUUUACUAAAUGUUAUCGGAUCGCCAGGUUUGGCGGUUGACCUAGUGGACCGUCAGGUCCUUGGUGUCCCAUCAAGUGUCCCAUCAAGCCAAUAUAGUAGCUCCCUUUGUUGGAUGUUGUGUGAUGGUCAAUGUGGUGGACAGUCACAAAGUUGACAGACCGUUAAGAUAUCUGUCCGACCAAGGCAGAAUGACCCAUUCCUAUGCCCCGAGUAACGGACGAUACGGUGGACCGUCAGUCCCUCUGAUGUACCAUCACUUCGACCGUCACACUGAGGUAGAACAUUCCAGUUUUGACACUCGAGCGAUGGACAACCUAGUGGACCUUCAGCUAAUCUGAAGGACCGUCAGAUCGACCGUCACAGGCCCCGAUCAGUAAAUUUCAGCAUUUUUCAAAAGGGCAUCUUUGUAAUUUCCACUCCUUGUGGCCUUAUAUAUAUAUCUAUGUAGAGAAGACAAUAUCAUUUUCUCUCCAUUUCUCUCCAAUUUUCUUUCAAGAAUUCUCUAGAAACCUAGGGUUUCUUCCAAACCCAAAAAUCAAAUCAUCUCUAAGAAAUUCAAGAAAUCUCCAAUAAAUUUCUUCAAGUUGUUCAAGAACUAUGUCCCUCAAUUCAAAGGUAACAUGGUCUUGAUCUAAAAGUGUAAGAAAGACAUUUCAAGCAAGUUUCUAUAUCUUCAAAAUAAAAAUCUAAGGUAUGCGGGGUUUGAACAAGAAUACUCCUUUCGUUCUUGUGCCUAAAGAUUUACUUUCUAUUAUUGAUUUACAUGAUAUUGCAAGUGGGUUUACAUCCAAAUAUCUCUAUUAAUGAUUUAUGAGAUUUGAGUUGAAUUAGUUUGAUAUUUAUGAUUAUUUCACUAUCAUGUUUCUUAAAUUGAGAAUUUAUUCCAUGAGCCAUAUAUUAUCAUUAUGUAUUGAUGAUUUCGAAGCAAUUUAUGUCAAGUUCCAUGAGUUGAAUAUUUUUAUUAUGAAUUGAUGAGUUUUGAAUGAUUUGAGACAAGUGUCAUGAGUUAUGCCUUUUCAUUAGAAAUUCGAUUAUUGAAUGUAUAUUGAUAUAUGAAAUUGAGAGGAAAGAAUGAGUCUUAUGAUGAUUCCAUGAAGUUUUUUAUAUUUGAAAUGAUUUGAUAAACAAAUGUACUUGAUAUUGAGAAAGCUUGUGUUGAGUUGAGUCGAGUUAGGAAUCCAGAAGAUGUUUAUGAUUUUUAGAUGAGAUAUAUAUUUUUGUUUUCGUCUUUAUAAUAGAACCAUGAGUUGAUAUUGAUUGAGGUGGAUUUUCUAACACAUUCUGAGCUGAGUCUGGGAGGAGUAUUUAGCACCGAGCGAGAAAUUUGGUAUUUUCCCAAAACUACGUGCCACCGUAGGAUUGAUGUUGAUAAUGGUGGGCAAAAUUCCGAGUAUGAGAUUGAGGUUGUACUCCCUGGCAAGAGUACAACACCCCUGCCAAUGUGGGGUUUUCUCCUUAGGUGGGCAAAACUUUGGACUCCAUGUGGCUCACAGGGUGUAGUCAUGUCGGUUAUAAGAAACUCCCACGUCCAUAAUGAUAUAAGUCUCUUGGGUUACCGAGUCACUCUGAGUUACAAGUUAAAGAGUUUGAGUUGAGUUAAAUGAGUUAUGAGAUUUAUGAAACACGUGUCAUUACUGAUGAUUUAUGGAAAUAAUGUUUCAGAUAAUUCAAGCGAAGAUAGUUAUUAUUGUCAGCAUGCAUGAUUUCUCAUACAUUUAUGAUAUUAUUUAAAAUGUUGCAUCCACCCCUACAUACUCAGUAAAUUCCCAAGUACUGACCCCCAUACUUCUUUGUAUUCUGUAUUUCCUCGUGAUAUAGGUUCAGGUGCUCAGUCUCAG
Molecule: long non-coding RNA, 22482 nt
Filed under: Capsicum annuum
Lineage: Eukaryota; Viridiplantae; Streptophyta; Magnoliopsida; Solanales; Solanaceae
Description: long non-coding RNA (CANN_LNC014307)
Source: RNAcentral